AAAAUACUUCUUCCGUCCAACAAACGAUGUCUCAAGUUUGUCAAAAUUUGGAUGCAUUUAGAUAUAACAUAGGGUAUAAAUGCAUUCAAAUUUAGUCAAAAUUGAGACAUCCUUUGUUGGACGGAGGAAGUAGGAA
Molecule: non-coding RNA, 136 nt
Organism: Brachypodium distachyon (stiff brome)
Lineage: Eukaryota; Viridiplantae; Streptophyta; Magnoliopsida; Poales; Poaceae
Source: Rfam